UGGGGAAUCUUGGACAAUGGGGGCAACCCUGAUCCAGCGAUGCCGCGUGAGUGAAGAAGGCCUUCGGGUCGUAAAGCUCUUUAGUUUGGGAAGAAGGGUAUUAGUUGAUAAGGCUAAUAUUUUGACGGUACCAAAAAAAUAAGCACCGGCAAACUCUGUGCCAGCAGCCGCGGUAAUACAGAGGGUGCGAGCGUUAAUCGGAGUUACUGGGCGUAAAGGGCGCGUAGGCGGAUAUAUGAGUGUGGUGUGAAAGCCCCGGGCUUAACCUGGGAAGUGCAUUGCAAACGAUAUAUCUGGAGUACAAGAGAGGGUGGCGGAAUUUCCGGUGUAGCGGUGAAAUGCGUAGAGAUCGGAAGGAACGUCAAUGGCGAAGGCAGCCACCUGGCUUGAUACUGACGCUGAGGCGCGAAAGCGUGGGGAGCGAACAGG
This 429-nucleotide ribosomal RNA is filed under the name uncultured bacterium. Its description in RNAcentral is "bacterial SSU rRNA". It matches the Rfam family "Bacterial small subunit ribosomal RNA", at positions 355 to 776 of the family's 1533-position model. The record is from RNAcentral.